CCAGCUGGGUGGAGGGCACGCCCAAUAAUUGCUGGGGCGUUUACAUAUGUCAGGGGCGCGGAGAGCUGCAGGGCUGUGGGCGGUGAGAGGCUGCCUGCCUGUCCCGUUAUAGACUAGUAUUUUGAUCCCCUUUACAGCCGAGGUCUGAAAUAGCCCCCCGACGGGUGCGGCAGCUGCCGCCGAGUUGGGGAAACUUGGGACUUGCAGUGGGUUGGGGAGGGGGCGCUUUGCUCUCUGCUCCGCGCUGAGGGCCCCGCCUUCGCUGCCCGAGCAGGCACCCUCGUGGAAGUCCGUGCCACCUGCGUGGGGGGCCAAGUGCCGGCUGCCGGAGGAGCACAGGCCGUCCCUGGACGCUGGGAAUGCCAAUCCAGACCAGAGAGGAAGCACGCAACCGGAGGGGUGGAAUCUGCUACCGGAACUGAAGAGAGGUGCUCACCCGUGGUCCAGCAGCUGAACUACAAGUGCCAUACCCUGGAUAAGGACUCUCAGGGGCUCUCAGCUCCCAGCUGGCCCAGUAAUGAAAACCCCAGCUCUGGCCAGUGCUGCCUGCAGCACCAGCAUCCCAUCUGGCACCAGUUCCUCUCCUGGCUGCUCGCCUCCGUAUCUAGCUCUCUGCUUAUGGCCUGGGAAAGUGGUGGAAGAUGGUCCAAGUACUUGGGCCCCAGCACCCAUGUGGGAGACCUGGAAGAAGCUCCUGGCUUUGGAUCGGCCCAGCUCUGGCUGUUCCAGCCAUUUGGGGGGUGAACCAGUGGAUGAAAGAUCUCUUUCCCUCUCCUCUCUGUCUGUAACUCUGCUUCUCAAAUAAAUAAAUAAAUAAAUCCCA
RNAcentral lists this long non-coding RNA (823 nucleotides) under Oryctolagus cuniculus (rabbit). RNAcentral describes it as "lncRNA (ENSOCUG00000037035.1)". The record is from RNAcentral. Lineage: Eukaryota; Metazoa; Chordata; Mammalia; Lagomorpha; Leporidae.